This 297-nucleotide long non-coding RNA is filed under the name Bos grunniens (domestic yak). Its description in RNAcentral is "lncRNA (ENSBGRG00000003768.1)". Lineage: Eukaryota; Metazoa; Chordata; Mammalia; Artiodactyla; Bovidae. The record is from RNAcentral.
AUGGAAGCCUCCAGAGCAAGUGGGUCAGGCUGUCAAGGUGGAACCCCAAGGCUGCAUGUGGCUGUGGAUACAGAAUUGAGUGGGCAUGAUCUGGAGAUACAGCAGGCCUCCCCACCCCAAGAUCUGUGUGAAGAACCUAAACGGAAAGAGUCAAGAUUUAGGAUGAACGAGAGGAGCUGGUGUCUUUCUGAAUUUUGUAUGAAGCACUUAUUCCUGUGUCAUUGCCAAGCAUUGGAGUCGGGGCUGUUUCAUUGUUGCUGCCCCACGGGCUACAUGGUUGCACUGGAAGAGUUGUGA